CUCAAUCUCUCUGGUGUUCGUUCUCCUCAAUCUCUCGGUGGUUGUUCUCCUUAAUCGCGCCAUCACCAGCAUUGCUCCCGUAGCUUCCUUACCUUGAUUUGGUAUUCUAAUUUAGCUAGUGAAGAUUAGAGAGAGAAGAGGUCAUUUAUGGAAUUCAGGGAUGAUGACGAAUACGAAGAACUUUCUUCCGCUUCAUGGAGAGGGGAAGAAGAGGUCACCAGUUAGCAAGUUUGGAAAAUCUCAUCACAUGAUUCCGAUGAUUUGCUUAGAUCCCGAACUCCGUUAUAGUUUCCAGCGUAACUUCUAGGGAAAACAUAUGGCAAACAGAGCUGUUUUCAAUCCAACAUUCCCCCUAAAUCUAUGGUAAGGUAAUGAAUUUUAAUUUUAUUAGACUUGAAUAUGUGAGAAAAAGAAAGGGAUAAUGUAGUUUUUAUAUAAAAUGGGAUAAAGGGAGUACAUGUUAUACUACAGAUAUUUAAAUUUGAUUGUUUUUACCCCUAUAUUUUGUAGGCGCAAAAACAAUGAUUAUAUUUUCAAGUUGUAUUUUGUUUGGUCUAUCACUUUCAGCAGUGUUAUCUUGUCCCUCCAUUGUGAUGAUUUCAUAUCAAAAACAUGAAGUCAAGUUUCUCAAAUGAGUUUUGGAGUCUUUUAUUCUGUUUAGCAAUGAGAUUCUGAAAUUGAUUUACAAUCUUUUAUUUUCUUGUGAAGCUAGUUAACUAGUUAGUUUUCUUGUAAAAAUAUGUUGAUUUCUCUCUAAUGGGGUUAAUUUACGGUUAGGAUUGGGCUGGCUUAUGUUCUCUCUGCAGCGGUAGUUUAGUUGCUGCCUUGUUUCUAAACGACAAACCUUCUGUUACAUCUUCUGCUGCACUAUUUGGAUUGAUUGGCACUAUGCUUUCAACUCUUGUUCAAAACUGGACAACUUACAACAAUAAGUUGACAGCUAUUGCAGUUUUAGUAUCUGUUUCGAUAAUCAAUAUUGUAAUGGGCUUGCUGCUGUUUUCUUUUGGGAUUUGUGCUGCUGUUUAAACAUCAACUUGGAAAAUGACUCAAGGAAAAUGUGCUUUCUUUGAGUAUGAAGUAAAAUCUUCUGCCAAGUUCAGGCAGAAGCUUGACAGACCCGUCUUAGGAGCACGAUUCUGUUUAUAUUCGUGGAAUUAAUGAUGGGGACUGCUGUGGCUGUUUGUUGUGGUGUUAAUAUAGGGGAGUAUUGUUGGUGGUGUAAAUAUUUGGAUUAUGUUCCUUCCAAAUGGUGGAGCUGUAAUGGAGAUCAAAUGAAGUGUGAGAUGGGUGUGAGUACAUGGCAAUUGACACUAACUUGCAUGAGUAGUAGUGAUAGUAAAAUACGAUUGUGGGCUGAAGACAAUACUCAAAAUGGGUGGAGCACUGAGAAAUAGAAGACUUCAAGCUAAAAGGCACUGGGAAAUAAAAGAUUGUCCAAGCUCUUAUGCCGUAAUUGAUGGAUAGUCGUUUAAGGAUUCUGUGUGAAAGUGUAAGAGAAAAUAGUAAAGUUCUAUCUAUCUCAUGGGAACUAACUAUUUGAAAAUUAAUGCAUUUUGUUUACAUAAACCUAUCAGGAAGUUAACUAAUUAAUAUUUUUUUAUUUAAUUA
Molecule: long non-coding RNA, 1608 nt
Organism: Impatiens glandulifera
Lineage: Eukaryota; Viridiplantae; Streptophyta; Magnoliopsida; Ericales; Balsaminaceae
Exons: 5
Source: RefSeq, a predicted model, not a curated record